RNAcentral lists this long non-coding RNA (436 nucleotides) under Brassica napus (rape). Its description in RNAcentral is "long non-coding RNA (BNAP_LNC011645)". Lineage: Eukaryota; Viridiplantae; Streptophyta; Magnoliopsida; Brassicales; Brassicaceae. The record is from RNAcentral.
CCGGAAAUAUUUGAAAAACACGUUGAAAAUUCUAAGUAAAGAUUUGACCAAUUUUCAAAGGAAGAAUACAAAUAAAUACUAUAACCUGGUCAACAAAAUCCGAAACCAAUUACUGAAAAAUUCAUACUGUUACAAUAAGACGGUUUGAUCAAAACUCUUAAAACAUUACCCCAAGUUAAAACACUCUCUCCCGAUGGUCUUUAUAGCAUCGCGCUCCGGUCCACAUAAUCAACCUUACCUGCAUCCGCAAAAGGAGGCAUGAGUAUACAAAAUUACUCAGUGAUGACGCUAAAACGCCCACAUGCAACUCAAUAAUCAAACAAUAAAAUUCAAUGUUCCAUUCUAACAACCUAGCAUUUCCAUUCUAUCAACCUAGCAAUUCAUUUCCAUUAUUUCUUACUUAGCCAUUUUUCCUAUUACUAUCCAUUUUCAUGCA